GAUAAUCUGUUUGAUUGUCUAUCCCAUUGGAUAACCGUGGGAAAUCUAGAGCUAAUACGUGCAGUUAAUUGGUGUACUUUCGGGUGCGCCAAAGCAUUUAUUAGACUAAACCAUCUACUGUACUUCGGUGCAGUAAGGGGAAUCUGGAUAACUUUGCUGAUCGUAUGGCCUAGUGCCGGCGACGUUUCAAUUGAGUUUCUGCCCUAUCAACUUGUUGGUAAGGUAUUGGCUUACCAAGGUUGCAACGGGUAACGGGGAAUCAGGGUUCGAUUCCGGAGAGGGAGCCUGAGAAACGGCUACCACAUCCAAGGAAGGCAACAGGCGCGAAAAUUACCCAAUCUAGACAGUAGGAGGUGGUGAAGAGAAUUACUAAGUAGUGGUCCAAAGGAUCACUUGUUUGGAAUGAACGUAACUUAAGAAAUUCGUUGAGAAACAACUGGAGGGCAAGUCCUGGUGCCAGCAGCCGCGGUAAUUCCAGCUCCAGUAGUUUGCUUUAAAGUUGUUGCGUUUAAAACGCUCGUAGUUGGAUCACGCAGCGAUGCGCAGUAAUCUUUUGUUCGACGCUGAUUCCUGUGUCCGUCUCGAUACGGCCAUGGUUUCAGUCCGGCGGCUUUAGAUAAUCACGCUGAGCAUCGCUAGUUGCACGUGAGAUAGAGUGUUGGCCUUCAGUGUGCCGGUACUCUUGUCUUGCGGGGUGUGCCUUGAAUAAAACAGAGUGCUCAAAGCAGGCUAUUGCCCUGAAUGUUAUAGCAUGGAACGAACAAUCGUGUACAUGUGUGCGUCAUCUUUCGGUGACACGCCUUUGGCUUGUUGUUGUUGGAGACGCGCACGGCACCCACUAAAAUAUGGCUGUUGGUUCCAUAUACGGUGAUGAUUAAAUAGGAGCGGUUGGGGGCAUCGGUAUUUGGCCGCGAGAGGUGAAAUUCUUAGACCGGCCAAGGACUAACAAAUGCAAAGGCACUUGUCUAGACCGUUUCCAUUAAUCAAGAACGAAAGUGGGAGGUUCGAAGACGAUCAGAUACCGUCCUAGUUCCCACUGUAAACUAUGCCGACCUGGGAUCGGCUUAGAGAUGUUACAAGCUCUAAGUCGGUCCCCACUGGGAAACCUGAAGUUUUUCGGUUACGGGGAGAGUAUGGUCGCAAGGCUGAAACUUAAAGGAAUUGACGGAAGGGCACCACCAGGGGUGGAGCCUGCGGCUUAAUUUGACUCAACACGGGGAAACUUACCUGGUCCGGACAUCGAUAGGAUUAACAGAUCAAUAGCUCUUUUAUGAUCCGAUGAGUGGUGGUGCAUGGCCGUUCUUAGUUCGUGGAGUGAUCUGUCAGCCUAAUUGCGGUAACGAACGAGACCACAGUCUCCAUUUAAGAGAUGGAAGAAGGCGUGCGGUUGCCUCGAUGCCUCGCGGUGUCAGCGGCUGUACGUUGUAGUGAGGGUAGUUAGCUUUGUUGGCAGGCAUGUGGGGCAACUUAUGUGUUUGCUGGCAGAGCGGAUUAUUUCUACCUUCCAUCGCGCAGUCGUCGGUUCACACUGGCGGCUGCCUUAUGGAGAGACAACGAGGUAUAUACAAGCUCGAGGAAGAGUGGCUCUAACA
This 1592-nucleotide ribosomal RNA is filed under the name Myxobolus basilamellaris. Its description in RNAcentral is "SSU rRNA". It matches the Rfam family "Eukaryotic small subunit ribosomal RNA", at positions 111 to 1458 of the family's 1831-position model. Lineage: Eukaryota; Metazoa; Cnidaria; Myxozoa; Bivalvulida; Myxobolidae. The record is from RNAcentral.